RNAcentral lists this long non-coding RNA (210 nucleotides) under Lathyrus oleraceus (garden pea). Its description in RNAcentral is "Pisum sativum (pea) long non-coding RNA (PSAT_LNC025526)". Lineage: Eukaryota; Viridiplantae; Streptophyta; Magnoliopsida; Fabales; Fabaceae. The record is from RNAcentral.
CACCAGCUGCCACUUGACAUCACAAGCAGGAAAUGCAGAAGAAUAAAAGAUGGUACAUGAGCUCCUUGUUACCAUAAUCCUGUUGAACAACAAGCAACUCAUUAAUUGCCAUGAUAAGUGUAUUGAAAUACUACCUGCAACAUGUUACCAAUCCAAUGCCAUUUGACCACAUUCAUCAAAAAAUCAGUUGGUUCUUGUAAGCAUCCUUCN